This 76-nucleotide transfer RNA is filed under the name Halomonas elongata. Its description in RNAcentral is "tRNA-OTHER". It matches the Rfam family "tRNA". From Rfam's summary of the family: Transfer RNA (tRNA) molecules are approximately 80 nucleotides in length. Their secondary structure includes four short double-helical elements and three loops (D, anti-codon, and T loops). The record is from RNAcentral. Lineage: Bacteria; Pseudomonadati; Pseudomonadota; Gammaproteobacteria; Oceanospirillales; Halomonadaceae.
GGGUCUGUAGCUCAGUUGGUUAGAGCGCACCCUGAUAAGGGUGAGGUCGGCAGUUCAAGUCUGCCCAGACCCACCA